GGGGGGAGGCCGGAUUCUGGGCUGUGUCCCCGGCGCCCUGUGCUCCCAGGCCUGCGCUGUUGCACUCGCACUCCCGGCUGCGCAGCCCCCU
This 91-nucleotide microRNA precursor is filed under the name Canis lupus familiaris (dog). RNAcentral's name for it is "mir-8799 microRNA precursor family". It matches the Rfam family "mir-8799 microRNA precursor family". The record is from Rfam by way of RNAcentral. Lineage: Eukaryota; Metazoa; Chordata; Mammalia; Carnivora; Canidae.